RNAcentral lists this long non-coding RNA (555 nucleotides) under Olea europaea subsp. europaea. Lineage: Eukaryota; Viridiplantae; Streptophyta; Magnoliopsida; Lamiales; Oleaceae. The record is from RNAcentral.
CAAAUUAUGAAUAGAGAAUUCUUUCUCCUAAAACCUGGCUAACAACUUUUUAUAUCCGUCCAAAAACUAUCUAUUAUUUCACCAAUACGAUAUUUCCUUGUACAUCAAAUAACAUACUCUAAUAAUGAAUUCUAAUUACUCGAUACAUUGUCAACGUCUUGAUUCUCGAUUGUCGAAUAUGAAAUAAAUUGACCCACUUCAAUGAUCCAUGAAAAUGAAAAGUCUUGAAUAAGAUCAUACAUUAAUCUUCAGUUAAUUGGAACGGCACAAUGUUGAUGAAUAUUAGACCAAGAUCAGGAAUAUCUCCAAGGGUGACAUAUUUGGAUAGUGGACGUGAAAUUCAAAGAUCUGAUGAAGUCAAUUCUUGAUUUUGUUUUGAAUCAUCUAUCUUUGACUUGCUUGAAGUUUCAGUACUUGAAACGAUAUUCUUUAAACUUACUGUUUAGCAUGUUUUUGUUCUUGAUUUUCUUGGAAUUGACUUAAAAAGAUGAUUGAAGAAUGAACAACUUUAUUUUUCUUAUCCUUGGGAAGAUCUCUGAGUAGAUUUCAUUGUAG